AGCGAACGCUGGCGGCAUGCUUAACACAUGCAAGUCGCACGGGCAGCAAUGUCAGUGGCGGACGGGUGAGUAACGCGUAGGAACGUGUCCUGAGGUGGGGGACAACCCCGGGAAACUGGGGCUAAUACCGCAUAUGGGCUGAGGCCCAAAGCCGAGAGGCGCCUUUGGAGCGGCCUGCGUCCGAUUAGGUAGUUGGUGGGGUAAAGGCCUACCAAGCCUGCGAUCGGUAGCUGGUCUGGGAGGACGACCAGCCCAACUGGGACUGAGACACGGCCCAGACCCCAAGGGGGGGACGCAGGGGGGAAAAUUGGACAAGGGGCGAAAGCCUGACCCAGCAAUGCCGGGGGGGGGAAAAAGGUUUUCGGAUCGUAAAGCCCUUUCGACGGGGACGAUGAUGACGGGACCCGUAGAAAAAGCCCCGGCUACCUUCGG
This 432-nucleotide ribosomal RNA is filed under the name uncultured bacterium. RNAcentral describes it as "partial 16S ribosomal RNA". It matches the Rfam family "Bacterial small subunit ribosomal RNA", at positions 30 to 506 of the family's 1533-position model. The record is from RNAcentral.